GACGAACGCUGGCGGCGUGCUUAACACAUGCAAGUCGAACGGAAAGGCCCUGCUUUUGUGGGGUGCUCGAGUGGCGAACGGGUGAGUAACACGUGAGUAACCUGCCCUUGACUUUGGGAUAACUUCAGGAAACUGGGGCUAAUACCGGAUAGGAGCUCCUGCUGCAUGGUGGGGGUUGGAAAGUUUCGGCGGUUGGGGAUGGACUCGCGGCUUAUCAGCUUGUUGGUGGGGUAGUGGCUUACCAAGGCUUUGACGGGUAGCCGGCCUGAGAGGGUGACCGGCCACAUUGGGACUGGGAUACGGCCCAGGCCCCUACGGGGGGGAGGGGUGGGGAAUAUUGCAAAAGGGGGGGAAGCCUGAUGCAGCAACGCCGGGUGGGGGAUGACGGCCUUGGGGUUGAAAACCGCUUUCGCCUGGGACGAAGGGGGGGUGACGGUAAUGGGUAAAGAAGCACCGGCUAACUACGU
RNAcentral lists this ribosomal RNA (467 nucleotides) under uncultured bacterium. RNAcentral describes it as "partial 16S ribosomal RNA". It matches the Rfam family "Bacterial small subunit ribosomal RNA", at positions 28 to 506 of the family's 1533-position model. The record is from RNAcentral.